Mytilus trossulus (common blue mussel) is the source of this 395-nucleotide long non-coding RNA. RefSeq lists it as uncharacterized. Lineage: Eukaryota; Metazoa; Mollusca; Bivalvia; Mytilida; Mytilidae. The transcript is spliced from 3 exons. The record is from RefSeq and is a predicted model, not a curated record.
UGGCCUUAAAAUGAUGUCAAGUUAUUUAUACUUCAAUUGCGCAUUUAUUUUAUAUAUCUCAUAUAGACCCAUGUUUAAGAUGUGUGGGAGAAACGAGUGAACACGGAUAUUGACCUGACUAAUAUGAUCAGUUUACUUAAUUUACAUUGUACUGAGAAGCAAAUACGCAAUUCAUGUGCUAACAGAAAAAGGGAAUAUUGAAACUAAACUAGAUAUUCCAUAUGGGAAAUAUAUUCAGCUAUUUUAGAAGAACUAAUCACAGAUACAGUCAAUCCGAACAGUUAUAUUUUUAAAACAUUUUGAACUUAAGUCAAACCUGCUUAAAUCGCAUCUCUUUAACACGUACACAUGGCGUGUUAGAUUACCCUUUUCCUGUCCGGGUUUGGCAAUAACAA